Long non-coding RNA from Mangifera indica (mango), 669 nucleotides. RefSeq lists it as uncharacterized. The transcript has 5 exons. The record is from RefSeq and is a predicted model, not a curated record. Lineage: Eukaryota; Viridiplantae; Streptophyta; Magnoliopsida; Sapindales; Anacardiaceae.
CGCCCUCUCUUGUUUUCCUGUUGAAAUUUUUUGUCACCGGGAAAGCUUUUUCUUCUGCUCUUUUCUUCUCUGUAUCUUAGAUUAUAUGAUUUUGUCCUUCUGCUCUUUUCUCAUCUGUCUCUUCGGCUAUAUGAUUUUAAUUCUGUUUCUUUUUCUUAUUUUCAGAUCCAGCAAAAUAUAAACAGGAAUUGAGGGAAGAAUUAAACUCUACAUUUUCAAUAAGCUGCUUCUAAUCGAACUUGAAUUCCUAUUUAAUUUUUGUCUCUCAUUCUGCAAGAGGUUGCUAUUCGUAAAUUCACCACUCCUGAUCAAUCUUGAAGACCUAUAUGAUUUGACAAAAUUGAAGUAAGCAAUAAUUAUGGUAGCAAAUCCUAAAAUACAAUCAAUUCUGAUGGAUCUUGAAGGCUUAUUUAUUAGGCAAUGGGCUUCAUCUAAAUCCCCCGAUUAUUAGACUGCUUGAUUUUAGAUGAGGGAGGACUUAUUCAGUUGCCGUAUAAGACAUCUUCCAGUUCGCUGGCUGAAUUAGCUGGUUUUCCACUUCCUAAUCACCCACUUAUUGUAGGAGUUCUUCCCCAACCCUGUUCUUGUGGAAACAGACAAGAUAUACUUAAAUUAUCUUAUUUAUGGUUUUGACCGUGGAUGUGAAAUUAGAAUUAAGGCUCAAUUUUU